WAUGCAUGAGCGAUGGAUUUNYUUGGUUCCCUUGCACCGUUAAAAGGUCNCANCNAAUUGCGAAAAUGUUGGUCGUGUGAAUUGCAAANACACAUUGGCCCUUUUUCGGGCUGCGGAACACCUUACUUACUGAACGUUUAACACGCUUUGUGGACUAAUCUCAUGUAUU
Molecule: ribosomal RNA, 169 nt
Filed under: Globorotalia inflata
Lineage: Eukaryota; Foraminifera; Rotaliida; Globorotaliidae
Description: 5.8S ribosomal RNA
Source: RNAcentral